GGGCCCUGUGUGGCUCAUGCCGCUUUUAUUCCGGAGUCUUGCUUUGGCAUUUGUGUAAGGUAUAGUCGGAGCCUUGUCACCGGCAAGUAUUGCAUCAUCCGUUUGUAUCCUUAGAGGCUCUGUAGACACAAUGUGUGUGGUGUACAUAUGUAUUUUGGGUAAGUAAUGGUACGGUUCGGAAUCAUGAUCCACGUUGGUAAAUGUUGUAAGUAUUGGGUAUCAUAUGAUGGUAAUGAUAAAAAGUAGAAAUGAAUUCAAGUUGUAAGUUUAUGCUUAAGUUAUAAAUGGCUAUUUCACAGGAAUAAUGUAUAUUGAAAUCACGGGGUAACGCGUGAGAUAGGAAAGGCAAUUCCAGGUUCGGUUGACUGGGGUCCUCCGGUUGAGCGCCGGUCGCGUCCCUCGAUUUUGGGGCGUGACGGCAAUGGGAUGAAAAGCUAAUUUCAGAAAUUGGCACUCUUAGAAAUAUUAUAUAACUUAAUUGUCUUUGCCUAGGUCCUAAGUAGCUCUCCGAAGCAAUUCUUUAGCUCUUCAAUUAUGUCAUGUCGAAUUGCAUUCUUUUUUGCUAGGUCACUAUUUCUAGGGAUGACAUUGUCAUUCUUGACUGUGCUGGUUGGAGACAUAGAUGAAAGGAUGAAUAUAUUGUUGCGCUUGCAUAUAAACUAAUAUCAACAUAAGCGACAUAAUUACUAUCCGAAAUGUGUUGUUGAAUAUAUGUUGGUCCUCUGUAUUUUGACAUAUUAAAUUAGUACUAAUUGUCUUGAGAACACCUUAUUAUGACAAAGAGAAGUUAUAGGAAUGAUUAACUAUGCUUUUUUUAAUUACCCCAAAAAUAAAUAACAACUUUUCGUAUAUGGAAUUUGCUACUUUUAGUUUGGGAUAACCAUUCAAGGAACUUUUUUUUUUUCUCUUAGUCUUUAGUUCUUUUAUAUGUCACUUUCUCUAAUUUCUAAUUAUGCACUUUUGCACAAUUUUGUUUUGCCAACGGAGAUUUAUGUAUCGAGUUCAGCGUGAGAACAUUUCGUUGUAUUUAAGAUAGGUAUGAUAUUAAUUAAUAUUUUUUACUAUCUAUAGAUAUUUUAUUCAUCUAAUUGCUACUGAUGGAAUAUUUGUCCGAUUUUUCUAAAUAUAACUUUUUUACCGGAUUCAACUCUUUGGUGCUCUAAUUUGAAAAGGACUUUAGCGACACCAAAAACUACAAACAUUCUUCACAAGCAAGGUAAUACCCUCAUUCACUUUACCUUUUUUUUCUCCAAAUGCCAGUAUUCAAUUAAUCACAUAUUGUCUUGUAUGAAAAAAAAAACAGUUGUGACGUAGAGAGUUGCAUUAUGAAAUGCUAUAUGUGAAUCUUUUCUUUGAAACUCAGUUAGAGUUGAACAAAGUCAACAAAACUUCAUAGUAGAGUUGUCAAAUUGGAUGUAGAUAUGUAUAUCGUAGAGGCCAGGCGUGUUGCCUCUUAGGACAUUGUAUACUCAGCUAACAGUUGCUCCUUCAAGGUAAGCUACCAAAUCAUGGUUAGAUUCAAAAUUCUAUAAUAUAAUUGCAUUUACUUAAUGACUUGCUACCAUACUUUCUUAAGGAGAGGAUUGGUAACUGUUCGUGUUACGAACAGUGUAGGGACUGAGGAAUUCGUGUAAAAUUUAAAUAAUGGUAUGGCUGUUGCUCUUUCUCAAUAGAGUGUCUUUUUUUUAAAUUUUUUACCUUUGUUCUCGAUAUGAGUAUACUACUAAAUGCUACCAGAUAACGAAAUAGUGCAUUUGGGAUGCUGAAAACUAUUUCCAUCUCUCUUUGGGAUUCAUUUAUUCUAGAAAAAUUACGCCAGGCUAAGAAGAAAAUUAUUUAUAAAGAAAGAGUUGUAAGUAUUUUAUUAUUAAGUUUUGCGCUGAAUACGCCACUUAAAUCCCAAAGCAUCUCCAUAUUGGAAAUAUAGUUUCUCAUUUGAAUCAUUUCUCAGAAUCAAGUUACUCCGAAGAUAGUCGAGACAUAAAUUUAGUUGAACAAAUAAGUGAAGUGGUAAGAACUACCAACCUUGAGAAACUAUUUUAACUUUUCUCAUGAAAUCGAACCUUUGCAAAGCCUGCAAGUGAAUCUGCUUCAAGGAAAUAAGUAGUUUCUUUUAUAAUUUGUCUCUACAAGGUCUUAACUUUAUUAGCUGAUUAAAAAAUGCUGAGCCUAUGACUUGGUAUAAAUGUGAUCAUGAGCUAUUAUUGAAAUAUCGUGUACUCGCUCUACCAUUUGAGGUGCGAAAACAAUCAAGCUAUAAUACUUAGGAUUAUCAUGCUAUGAAAGUGCUACUACCUUUCAGAUUUGUUGCAUCAGAAGAGCUAAUCCUCAAAAUUAUUGGACAGUUGGAGCGGGAAAAAGGUUCUUGAACUUCCAUUGGAUACUAUCUUUAUGUCGCAAAGAAUAUUUGUGAGAUAGAAUGUUUUUACUGGGAAAAUAGGUUAUGAGGAAUUUAAUUAACAAUCACGAGAAGGGAAAUGUACGAUUGACCAUUAGAACUAUGAUAAGAAAAGAGCCUAAUUAAAUUAGGAAGACCAUUAGUACAUUGCUAUUUAAAAUGUUGGAUUUAAUAAGGUUAAUGAACGACUUUAUAUAUAAUAUGCCUCUUCCCUCACCAUUGUUUAUAUCUCUUAUGCAAUCAUUUGUUUUGCUUUCAGGUGUAUGGAGGAUUGACAACACAUUUGAUAUGCUUCACUUGGUUGGAGUAUCAAGUUUGGUGUCAUUCUUCUGCAUAGCCUCUCAAAAAUCUGUAAUAAACAACUUCUCCUAUGUUGUUCUGUUCACUAUGCUAUUGUUUCGAGUAUAACAAGAGUAACUUCUGAGCUGGCCAAUGUAGCUGAUACUUAAAAGGGAACGAUGGGUCAAAAUGUGCUUGUGAUGUGCUUUUAGACACAGAUUUCCUCUAUUUUGUGGGUGUUGCAUCAAUAAUAUCUUUGUUGUAAUAGAUACAUGGAAGUAGUAGAGUAGUAGAAUGUUUGGAUCAUCAAGAAAAAUCACAAUACAUAAUACGUUGGGCCUGUG
Long non-coding RNA from Nicotiana attenuata, 3021 nucleotides. RefSeq lists it as uncharacterized. The transcript has 2 exons. The record is from RefSeq and is a predicted model, not a curated record. Lineage: Eukaryota; Viridiplantae; Streptophyta; Magnoliopsida; Solanales; Solanaceae.